Molecule: ribosomal RNA, 424 nt
Filed under: uncultured cyanobacterium
Lineage: Bacteria; Bacillati; Cyanobacteriota
Description: bacterial SSU rRNA
Rfam family: Bacterial small subunit ribosomal RNA
Source: RNAcentral
GGGAAUUUUCCGCAAUGGGCGAAAGCCUGACGGAGCAACGCCGCGUGAGGGAUGAAGGCCUCUGGGCUGUAAACCUCUUUUAUCAAGGAAGAAGAUCUGACGGUACUUGAUGAAUAAGCCACGGCUAAUUCCGUGCCAGCAGCCGCGGUAAUACGGGAGUGGCAAGCGUUAUCCGGAAUUAUUGGGCGUAAAGCGUCCGCAGGCGGCCCUUCAAGUCUGCUGUUAAAAAGUGGAGCUUAACUCCAUCAUGGCAGUGGAAACUGUUGGGCUUGAGUGUGGUAGGGGCAGAGGGAAUUCCCGGUGUAGCGGUGAAAUGCGUAGAUAUCGGGAAAAACACCAGUGGCGAAGGCGCUCUGCUGGGCCAUCACUGACGCUCAUGGACGAAAGCCAGGGGAGCGAAAGGGAUUAGAUACCCCUGUAGUCA